GGCCCCAUCGUCUAGCGGUCUAGGACAUCGCCCUCUCACGGCGAAAACGCGGGUUCGAGUCCCGCUGGGGUCACCA
This 76-nucleotide transfer RNA is filed under the name Candidatus Berkelbacteria bacterium. RNAcentral describes it as "tRNA-Glu". It matches the Rfam family "tRNA". Rfam says of the family: Transfer RNA (tRNA) molecules are approximately 80 nucleotides in length. Their secondary structure includes four short double-helical elements and three loops (D, anti-codon, and T loops). Lineage: Bacteria; Candidatus Berkelbacteria. The record is from RNAcentral.